CACCGCGGUUAUACGAGUUGGCCCAAGUUGAUAGACAACGGCGUAAAGAGUGGUUAAGGAAAACAAAAACUAAAGCCGAACAUCUUCAAAGCUGUCAUACGCUCCCGAAAAUAUGAAGCCCAACCACGAAAGUGACUUUAUUCCACCUGAACCCACGAAAGCUAAGAAA
This 169-nucleotide ribosomal RNA is filed under the name Trachinotus baillonii (smallspotted dart). Its description in RNAcentral is "partial 12S ribosomal RNA". Lineage: Eukaryota; Metazoa; Chordata; Actinopteri; Carangiformes; Carangidae. The record is from RNAcentral.